UAUAAACUUAUUCUAUGAUAUUUUACAAUUUUCAUUCAAAUAUAACGUUUUAAAGUUCUUAUUUAUAAUUUUAGGAUAUUGAAAAUAUGUUUUCUGAUGGUGAAUUCGAUUUUCUUAUUGAGAAAUCUUUGCAGCGCCAAGAAAUCUGUAAUGUUCAGGUUGAUAAUAAUAAGUUUCUUACUUCAACACCAAAUAAAAUUUCUACCUACAAAUUAAAAUUACGGGUAUCUAGAA
Non-coding RNA from Hydra vulgaris (swiftwater hydra), 234 nucleotides. NCBI's taxonomy places the organism in Eukaryota, Metazoa, Cnidaria, Hydrozoa, Anthoathecata, Hydridae. The record is from RefSeq and is a predicted model, not a curated record.